Molecule: ribosomal RNA, 722 nt
Filed under: Nemania serpens
Lineage: Eukaryota; Fungi; Ascomycota; Sordariomycetes; Xylariales; Xylariaceae
Description: eukaryotic LSU rRNA
Rfam family: Eukaryotic large subunit ribosomal RNA (bases 403-722)
Source: RNAcentral
UAGGCGACCCUGCCGACGGCCCCCGAAACUCUGUUUUUAUAGCAUUGGACUUCUGAAAAGAUAACUAAAUAAGUUAAAACUUUCAACAACGGAUCUCUUGGUUCUGGCAUCGAUGAAGAACGCAGCGAAAUGCGAUAAGUAAUGUGAAUUGCAGAAUUCAGUGAAUCAUCGAAUCUUUGAACGCACAUUGCGCCCACUAGUAUUCUGGUGGGCAUGCCUGUUCGAGCGUCAUUUCAACCCUUAAGCCCCCGUUGCUUAGUGUUGGGAGCCUACUGGAACUCUCCUGUAGCUCCCCAAAGUCAGUGGCGGAGCCGGUUCGCACUCCAGACGUAGUAGCUUUUACACAUCGCCUGUAGCUUGGACCCGGUCCCCUGCCGUAAAACACCCCCCAAUUUUAUAGGUUGACCUCGGAUCAGGUAGGAAUACCCGCUGAACUUAAGCAUAUCAAUAAGCGGAGGAAAAGAAACCAACAGGGAUUGCCCUAGUAACGGCGAGUGAAGCGGCAACAGCUCAAAUUUGAAAUCUGGCCCUCGGGUCCGAGUUGUAAUUUGUAGAGGAUGCUUUUGGCGCGGUGCCUUCCGAGUUCCCUGGAACGGGACGCCUUAGAGGGUGAGAGCCCCGUACGGUUGGACACCAAGCCUCUGUAAAGCUCCUUCGACGAGUCGAGUAGUUUGGGAAUGCUGCUCUAAAUGGGAGGUAAAUUUCUUCUAAAGCUAAAUAUU